Molecule: ribosomal RNA, 434 nt
Filed under: Mollusca environmental sample
Lineage: Eukaryota; Metazoa; Mollusca
Description: partial large subunit ribosomal RNA
Source: RNAcentral
UAACCGUGCAAAGGUAGCAUAAUCAAUUGGCUAUUAAUUGUAGUCUAGUAUGAAUGAAGUAAUGAAUAGUAGCUAUAAUAAAAAAUAUUAUUUUAAUUUAAUGAACUGGUGAAAAUUCCAAUAUAUAGAAAAAAGACGAGAAGACCCUUAGAGUUUUUGAAAUAAAGAUUGUUUAAGACUUUAAUUAGAUACUACUCUUAAAGAAAUUAUACAAUACACUUUUUUGUUGGGGCGACAAGAAAGCAAUAUAACCUUUCUAUUGACACUAAAAGUGGUAUUAGAUCUGACGAAUUUAUUAUGAAUGACUAAACUACCUGAGGGAUAACAGCAUAAUGAUUAAUAUUAGUUUGUGACCUCGAUGUUGGACUAGGGACUUGUACACUAACCGUGAUAAAAGCUUGUUCUGUUCGAACAAUAAACCCCUACAUGAUCUG